GUGGGGAAUUUUGGACAAUGGGCGCAAGCCUGAUCCAGCAAUGCCGCGUGCAGGAAGAAGGCCUUCGGGUUGUAAACUGCUUUUGUACGGAACGAAACGGUCCGGGUUAAUACCCUGGGCUAAUGACGGUACCGUAAGAAUAAGCACCGGCUAACUACGUGCCAGCAGCCGCGGUAAUACGUAGGGUGCAAGCGUUAAUCGGAAUUACUGGGCGUAAAGCGUGCGCAGGCGGUUUUGUAAGACAGGCGUGAAAUCCCCGGGCUCAACCUGGGAAUUGCGCUUGUGACUGAAAGGCUGGAGUGCGGCAGAGGGGGAUGGAAUUCCGCGUGUAGCAGUGAAAUGCGUAGAUAUGCGGAGGAACACCGAUGGCGAAGGCAAUCCCCUGGACCUGUACUGACGCUCAUGCACGAAAGCGUGGGGAGCAAACAGGAUUAGAUACCCUAGUAGUCC
RNAcentral lists this ribosomal RNA (450 nucleotides) under uncultured bacterium. RNAcentral's name for it is "partial 16S ribosomal RNA". It matches the Rfam family "Bacterial small subunit ribosomal RNA", at positions 354 to 796 of the family's 1533-position model. The record is from RNAcentral.